AGAGCAACCAUAACCGUUCAUGGGUUUGGUAAAUUCCUGUCGGAACGUUUAUUCGAAAAGCUAGUAUACCGCAUCGUUACUGUCAGAGAUAAAUCUUAAAAACGUCGGAUGCAUUAAUGGUCAAGGAGAUAGUAUAAAACAUUUUGAUCUUUCGCAUCUUUAGAUUAACAUAUAGGUAUAGAUUAAUUAUCAAUUCUUUUGGAAUUCCUAGGGCUUACUCAUAAUUUCUUCUUUAAAAAAUCGAUGUGACAUUGUGAAUACAUAAACCGUCAAUAAUCUACUGCUAA
This is a non-coding RNA of Schizosaccharomyces pombe (fission yeast), 287 nucleotides long. The record is from the annotation of a GenBank genome assembly. Lineage: Eukaryota; Fungi; Ascomycota; Schizosaccharomycetes; Schizosaccharomycetales; Schizosaccharomycetaceae.